CCCUUAGAUGUUCUGGGCCGCACGCGCGCUACACUGACGAAUGCAACGAGUUCUAUCCUUGGCCGGAAGGCCUGGGUAAUCUGUGAACGUGCAUCGUGAUAGGGAUAGAUUAUUGCAAUUAUUAAUCUUGAACGAGGAAUUCCUAGUAAACGCAAGUCAUCAGCUUGCAUUGAUUACGUCCCUGCCCUUUGUACACACCGCCCGUCGCACCUACCGAUCGAAGGUAAUGAUGAGCCCUCAGGAUUGUGGCCUCGUCGCGUCAGCGUCUUGGCUGCGAGAAUCUGUGCAAAUCCCUACCUUUAGAGGAAGGUGAAGUCGUAACA
This 323-nucleotide ribosomal RNA is filed under the name uncultured eukaryote. Its description in RNAcentral is "partial 18S ribosomal RNA". It matches the Rfam family "Eukaryotic small subunit ribosomal RNA", at positions 1470 to 1796 of the family's 1831-position model. The record is from RNAcentral.